CCCUUAGAUGUUCUGGGCCGCACGCGCGUUACACUGAUGCAUUCAACGAGUUUUUCCUGGUCCGAGAGGAAUGGGUAACCUUUUGAAAGUGCAUCGUGCUAGGGAUAGACUAUUGCAAUUAUUGGUCUUCAACGAGGAAUUCCUAGUAGACGUAGUUCAUCAGACUGCAUCGAUUACGUCCCUGCCCUUUGUACACACCGCCCGUCGCUCCUACCGAUUGGAUGAUCCGGUGAGCUAUUCGGACUUUCGCAUUGUCGAGUUUCGGCUUUACGAGGGAAAGUCUCGCGAACCUUAUCAUCUAGAGGAAGGAGAAGUCGUAACA
This 322-nucleotide ribosomal RNA is filed under the name uncultured eukaryote. Its description in RNAcentral is "partial 18S ribosomal RNA". It matches the Rfam family "Eukaryotic small subunit ribosomal RNA", at positions 1470 to 1796 of the family's 1831-position model. The record is from RNAcentral.